ACUUCGGCGCUGGCACCAGUGCCAGAGACGGCAGCGCGCAAACAGCCUUAAACCGCUUGAGGCCGGUUCAAACUAGAAUCGGUGGACCGUUCGUUCGAUCCGGACAGGCCCGUCCCGGCUGAGUUCAGUUCGGUUCGGUUCGGUUAAGUUCGGUUGGGUUGGGUUGAGUUAAGUUGGCUUCGUCCAAGCUGGCUUGGCUUGGCUUGAGUUGGUUAUCGUCUUUAACUGCACCUGACAAAGAAAUUCCCCAGGUCAAAAACGACUUUAAGACUUUACUAAGGAAGCGCAAUGGUUGACCCAAAUACGAUUAUUGCCAGCCCAGCACAUUGUAUAUACGAGUAGUGCUGGCCGGAGGGAUCUUCUAAGGCAAGAACGUAUAGUAGAAAAUAUAGAAUAUUUUACCAUCUAAGGAUUCAAAAAUUAUCAUUAGUAAACUUUGUUGACGUUUCUCUUGGGUGGAAGAAAUAGAUAAAGAAAAUUAAAUAAAAAUGACAGCACCUGAA
Molecule: long non-coding RNA, 503 nt
Organism: Drosophila pseudoobscura
Lineage: Eukaryota; Metazoa; Arthropoda; Insecta; Diptera; Drosophilidae
Exons: 2
Source: RefSeq, a predicted model, not a curated record